GAUCUGCUCUGCUGGAGUUUUGUAAGUGAGCCCAGGAUAGGGGUUGCUGGAAUAGCCAAGAAACUCUCCUCUGCCAGCAUGAAAGACACCAUAACAGGUGCAACAAGCAUACCAACACGACGAAGUUUGCAUUGGCAGCACCAUGCAUGCAUCUGCUUACAGCAUACUGCCCAAGGAAAGGAAGGGAAUUACUAACUCGCAGCCCAGCACCAACAGCAUAUCUAGGACCAUUAUAACCAAAUAACUAGGACCGCCUCAUUGCGCAAAAUGGAAGUGGAAGGAGAGAAGUCCACAGGAUUUAGAGACAUGAUCCUCAAGCAAAGGCUUCAAGGACCAGCACAACAAUUAUCUUCUACGUUGAAGGCUUUCAUGAAGGGAACUGAACACCUCUGCUGGCAGCAAAGGACCUGAGAAAAAAGAACUCCAGUGAAGAAAAAAUUACCUAGAUAUCUGAAACUGAACUGGACAGACAAAUCACCCCAGUAGUCCAGCUAUCUGGACAGAAUUAACCUCUCUGCAUCAAGCAGGAAAAGGAUGAGAGACUUGCUGUGGAAAUAUACACCCAGGUGACCCUAGUGCAAAGGACUGACUGCCUUGAUCUCGUAGGCUAACUGCACUUGUCUUUGAUCUACUUACUGCCUAAGAGGAGAAGCAACCGGAUCUAAUCAGGAUGAGAUACAGACAAGUAUAAUGUCAGCUUGGCUAUUGUCUCCAUGAUGCGUUCAUGCACAGGAUUUCUAAAACUAAGAGGAACACAUCAUAGCACAUAUCUAAGUCUUGUGCCCUAUGAAAACAAAUGGAACUCAAACAACUGCAAAGCUCCUGCCCCAAGGAAUUGUUUCCAUGGGUGACAAUCAGUGGGAUCCCAGAGGAGCCACAAACUCACAGACUGGUGGGCUCCUUCUUCCAGCUGCUGUAUGUACAGAUAGCUCACUUCACACUUUCCCACUUUGCUCCAAAAAAACGUGAUAUAAUCACAUCAGGACUUUCAGAGUGUAAGCUGCAGAAGCCAUUUAUUCACAUCACCAGCUAGGGCUCAACAACCCAACUGACAUUCUUUGUGCUGUUUUUUUUUUUUUUUUUUUCAAACCAAAAAGUUCACAUGAACAUCAGCCCACAAAUCAGCCAUCAUCACAGCGCAAGAAUCUGACCACUUUUUUAUACAUGCUAAAGCUAAUCAACAGCUAUGCAAGACACCAGAUCAGGUGUGUUAGGCUAGACACAACAGAAGGGGACAGCAGGAUACUGCUACUGACACCCAUUCAUUUACUUCCCUUUUACAGGUU
This is a long non-coding RNA of Tympanuchus pallidicinctus (lesser prairie-chicken), 1286 nucleotides long. RefSeq lists it as uncharacterized. The record is from RefSeq and is a predicted model, not a curated record. Lineage: Eukaryota; Metazoa; Chordata; Aves; Galliformes; Phasianidae. The transcript has 2 exons.